Molecule: unclassified non-coding RNA, 215 nt
Filed under: Hevea brasiliensis (rubber tree)
Lineage: Eukaryota; Viridiplantae; Streptophyta; Magnoliopsida; Malpighiales; Euphorbiaceae
Source: RNAcentral
AAAUCAAAUUUUACUUAUCAUCUCUACCUAUGUCUUAGCCCAGCCGUGCUUGUCGAAAAUGGGAAGUUCCUCUUAUCAGCCAAAAGAGUUCGUCGGACUACUUGCACUGAGUACAUAAUAUCGAUGGACGCAGACAAUAUAUCAAGGACAAGCAAUAGUUACAUUGGAAAGCUGAGAUCAAAUUUCCUAGGAACAAAAUUUUUAAUCUAUGAUAG